AACGAACGCUGGCGGCAGGCUUAACACAUGCAAGUCGAACGCCCCGCAAGGGAGUGGCAGACGGGUGAGUAACACGUGGGAACAUGCCCAAAGGUACGGAAUAUUCUCGGGAAACUGGGAGCAAUACCGUAUGUGCCCGAAAGGGGAAAGAUUUAUCGCCUUUGGAUUGGCCCGCGUUGGAUUAGCUAGUUGGUGGGGUAAAAGCCUACCAAGGCGACGAUCCGUAGCUGGUCUGAGAGGACGACCAGCCACACUGGGACUGAGACACGGCCCAGACUCCUACGGGAGGCAGCAGUGGGGAAUCUUGGACAAUGGGCGCAAGCCUGAUCCAGCCAUGCCGCGUGAGUGAUGAAGGCCCUAGGGUUGUAAAGCUCUUUUACCAGGGACGAUAAUGACGGUACCUGGAGAAUAAG
RNAcentral lists this ribosomal RNA (413 nucleotides) under uncultured bacterium. RNAcentral describes it as "bacterial SSU rRNA". It matches the Rfam family "Bacterial small subunit ribosomal RNA", at positions 29 to 490 of the family's 1533-position model. The record is from RNAcentral.